Molecule: ribosomal RNA, 274 nt
Filed under: uncultured bacterium
Lineage: Bacteria
Description: partial 16S ribosomal RNA
Rfam family: Bacterial small subunit ribosomal RNA
Source: RNAcentral
AUACGGAGGGUGCAAGCGUUAAUCGGAAUUACUGGGCGUAAAGCGCGCGUAGGCGGUUUGGUCAGUCAGAUGGGAAAUCCCUGGGCUCAACCUGGGAACUGCAUUUGAUACUGCCAGGCUAGAGUCUGGUAGAGGGAAGUGGAAUUCCGGGUGUAGCGGUGAAAUGCGUAGAUAUCCGGAGGAACACCAGUGGCGAAGGCGACUUCCUGGACCAAUACUGACGCUGCGGUGCGAAAGCGUGGGUAGCAAACAGGAUUAGAAACCCCAGUAGUCC